GGCUUGGGAAAGGACCAUUA
Molecule: ribosomal RNA, 20 nt
Filed under: Candida albicans
Lineage: Eukaryota; Fungi; Ascomycota; Pichiomycetes; Serinales; Debaryomycetaceae
Description: partial 18S ribosomal RNA
Source: RNAcentral